Long non-coding RNA from Teleopsis dalmanni, 322 nucleotides. RefSeq lists it as uncharacterized. Lineage: Eukaryota; Metazoa; Arthropoda; Insecta; Diptera; Diopsidae. The record is from RefSeq and is a predicted model, not a curated record. The transcript is spliced from 2 exons.
GUGUUUUAAUUUGUAUAUUUAAUUAAAUUAUAUAAAAAAGUGUAAAUAAAAUCCAAAAAUGAAUUUGUGGUAUUUCCAAAAGACAUAUGCACCACUUGAUUGCGAAAUAGCAUGCGUAGAUAAAUUAUGAACAAGACCCGCACAUUGAACUUUUAGAUGAAGUGAAUGCUUAUAACAUAUAAAUGGUGGUGUUCAGCUUGUAUCUCCCACAAAUUGUAUCAAUAACUUUGUUUUUGAAGCAUUUAAGAAUGACGUAAAUAGCUAUACUGACCUCGAAAAUGCAUUCAGGAAAGGUUUUCGGAAUUGCAAAUUAAAAAUGUAU